UUAAAAAUAAGAUAAUAAAUGCUUAAAGCCUAAAACGCUUAAGCGUUUCAAUGACUUUCAGCCAGCCUGGCUAAUGGCCUGCCUAAGUGCCCGCCUAACUGUGGCCAUUUUCAUGAAUUUCAUAUCAAUUUCCGUCAUUAUGUCAUAAAAUCAAACGCAGAGAAGCGCAUUUGGCCGAGAAGAGUCACGAGUUAAAAAUCGUCAAACACAAAAGCAACCAAACCAAGAACCGCUCAGCCACCCAUACAGUCGUUGACGUCGACCUCGUUUGAUACGAUCGAUUGUGGACAUUUCAAUAAUCGUUUUAAUCAUUUCCGUUUAGAGUUGAUAGCCUCUUUUUAUGUGCCUCAUUUACGAUUGACAGCCAAAGAAUUAUGUAAUCAAAAUUAAGUUCAAGCACGAAGAAGCACAAAAACAAUGGGAAAAUAUUAAAAAACCUUAAAACUACCCAAGACAGAACAACUCAAUUCCACCUCAAAAGCGAACUGAGCUCAUCAGCAACUGCACACUGUACCACAUGAAUUAUGCAUUUCGAGCACAAUGAAGAUUUGUGCGAUGCAAGCAAUGAAACGGGAACAAAAUAUUUACCAAAUUGAUUAUGUUGCCAUGCGCGUCUGCACACAACGAAGGCGAAGAAGAAGAGGCAGAAAAUUGCAAAAAAAAACAACGCAUUUCAAGUCAAUUUACUCAUUGUCCAAACGUCUUUAUGACACCAAUAAUUGGAAACGUGUGCUCAUCGUUUGUCGGCGUCGUCAUUGUGGCUGCAAUCUUCGACAGAUUUUCCACGCCAACACAACUCCCCCUUUUUCCUAGCGAAACAUGCGAAGGCAUUUGACGCUGUCAGCGCGAAGACGUGCAACACGGCCUCCCAGCUUCGUCGUCCUACUUUCAUACGGCAAUGCAUGUGUCAAAUUCCUCACAAAUUCGGUAUUAACGGCACGUGUGGCCCGGUAGAGCUGACGCUGAUUGCCGUGUCGAUUUUUAGUUUUCGACAAGCAAAUGUUCGUAGUUGGCCAGAGGCUACAUAUGUAUGUAUGUAUGUAUGUGCUGCAGGAGGUAGUGUGUGUGUGCUUAUAACUGCAACGGUGGCAGUCCACAAUCGGAGAAAUGCACGUGCUUGGCAUAUAUAAGAGCUGCUGCACAUAAACAUUUACACAUAUAUAUGUACAUAACAUAAGUACUAAAAUGUGGUUGACACUAAUAGAAGUUCAAAGCAAAAAUGAUUGCAUACUGUUGGGCGUAUAAGCUGGAGAAUGUCAAAAAUCGAUGCAAAUGACAUAUUUCAUUGGCUUAAUCCAAGGUAUGCGUGUAUGUAACUAUACAAGUUUACGUCUGUAAAUUAGGGUGAUCCCAUUUCUUCUUUUCCGAAAAAAAAAUAUCUGCAAAAAUAUUGGAAAGUGU
Long non-coding RNA from Ceratitis capitata (Mediterranean fruit fly), 1401 nucleotides. RefSeq lists it as uncharacterized. The record is from RefSeq and is a predicted model, not a curated record. The transcript is spliced from 3 exons. NCBI's taxonomy places the organism in Eukaryota, Metazoa, Arthropoda, Insecta, Diptera, Tephritidae.